GACGAACGCUGGCGGCGUGCUUAACACAUGCAAGUCGAACGGUAAGGCCCCUCGGGGUACACGAGUGGCGAACGGGUGAGUAACACGUGGGUGAUCUGCCCUGCACUUCGGGAUAAGCCUGGGAAACUGGGUCUAAUACCGGGUAGGACCCUGGGAUGCAUGUCCUGGGGUGGAAAGCUUUUGCGGUGUGGGAUGGGCCCGCGGCCUAUCAGCUUGUUGGUGGGGUGAUGGCCUACCAAGGCGACGACGGGUAGCCGGCCUGAGAGGGUGACCGGCCACACUGGGACUGAGAUACGGCCCAGACUCCUACGGGAGGCAGCGGUGGGGAAUAUUGCACAAUGGGCGCAAGCCUGAUGCAGCGACGCCGCGUGAGGGAUGACGGCCUUCGGGUUGUAAACCUCUUUCAGCACCGACGAAGCGCAAGUGACGGUAGGUGCAGAAGAAGGACCGGCCAACUACGUGCCAGCAGCCGCCGUAA
Molecule: ribosomal RNA, 478 nt
Filed under: uncultured bacterium
Lineage: Bacteria
Description: partial 16S ribosomal RNA
Rfam family: Bacterial small subunit ribosomal RNA
Source: RNAcentral